CCCAUUGUAACCAUUUAAGUUUGGGUCAAAAUGAGCCACACCUGCACCCUCUUCCACACCCCCAUCACUCUUUCUUCCAUUUUCACACCCAAAUUUCGCCACAAGACUACUCAUUUCCACUACAAGAAUCCCAAAAACCCAACAAAAUCAUCAAAAAUAACCUGCACUGGUACUGACAACUCCCAAAACCAAAACCAACAGCUCAAUCUCUCUGUUCUUCGCUUCACUUUAGGGAUUCCUGGACUGGAUGAAUCAUAUUUACCCAGAUGGAUUGGAUAUGCUUUUGGAUCUCUUCUGGUUUUGAAUCACUUAGCGAGUUCAAAUUCAACCCCAGCGCAGCUUAGAACAGAGGUUCUUGGUCUUUCUUUGGCAGCAUUCUCUGUCAUACUUCCUUACAUUGGGCAGUUUCUUAAGGGGGCUAGUCCAGUGGUUAAAGCAAGCAUUCCCGAAGGCGCGGAGCAAAUAUUCGCGAUGUCACCCGACAUAUCCGAUACAAGUAAAGAGGAUUUAGCGUGGGGAUCGUAUACUUUACUGCGUAACACAAACAGCAUUUCUGUGCUUAUAUCUGUACAUGAUGUACUGUGCGUACGUGGCUACUGGAACACACCCAAAGGCAUGGAUUUAUCGAAAGACCGAGCGGUUGAAUGGUUUAAAGAACAGGUGCAACGGGUCGGCCUCGUUAAAUUGACGGAUACCCUGUAUUUUCCUCAGAGAUCAGAUUCUGAGCUCUGGGAGAUGCUUCCCGAGGGUACACGUUCAGUUUUGGUUUUGCCUGUGACUAAAAACCGAGACGAAGAUGGAAACUCUAAGGACAAGAGUGCGGGGUUUGUCUUGUUGGCGUCUAGCAUUAAUUACGCAUAUAGUAACAAAGACAGAGCCUGGAUAGCAGCUAUUGCUAAAAAGUUUUGAGAUUAGAAUCAGAAGAAGGCCUUUCGUAAAGAUAUCAGCAAAAGGAUAGCGAGACGAGACAUGUAAGACACAACGAACAAAAUGAACAUCAUUCUGCAUAUGAAUAUGCUUAGUGUGUUGAUGUUGGGCCUAAAGGACAUGUAAUUGGGGCUUGGUGGAAGACCAUAGAAUCAUUGGUUAGUGAAGUAUACAGGCUGUUUUAGCAGGGUGUGGGAACAUGGCACAUGCCUGUUGCUUUUGUUCUAAAAUCUUUUGCAGGGCUCAUGUUUUUUGGUUUUAUGUCUUUGUGAUGUUAGGUUUGUCUUUGUUGUAAAUAAUAAUAAUAAUAAUACAUUUAUUAUUUAAAGUUGAUUAAAUAAAGCUAAGAGAUGUUAAUGUGA
Molecule: RNA transcript, 1289 nt
Organism: Helianthus annuus (common sunflower)
Lineage: Eukaryota; Viridiplantae; Streptophyta; Magnoliopsida; Asterales; Asteraceae
Gene name: protein COFACTOR ASSEMBLY OF COMPLEX C SUBUNIT B CCB2, chloroplastic
Exons: 7
Source: RefSeq, a predicted model, not a curated record